GUGGGGAAUAUUGGACAAUGGGGGGAACCCUGAUCCAGCCAUGCCGCGUGUGUGAAGAAGGCCUUUUGGUUGUAAAGCACUUUAAGCGAGGAGGAGGCUACCGAGAUUAAUACUCUUGGAUAGUGGACGUUACUCGCAGAAUAAGCACCGGCUAACUCUGUGCCAGCAGCCGCGGUAAUACAGAGGGUGCAAGCGUUAAUCGGAUUUACUGGGCGUAAAGCGCGCGUAGGUGGCCAAUUAAGUCAAAUGUGAAAUCCCCUAGCUUAACUUGGGAAUUGCAUUCGAUACUGGUUGGCUAGAGUAUGGGAGAGGAUGGUAGAAUUCCAGGUGUAGCGGUGAAAUGCGUAGAGAUCUGGAGGAAUACCGAUGGCGAAGGCAGCCAUCUGCCCUAAUACUGACACUGAGGUGCGAAAGCAUGGGGAGCAAACAGGAUUAGAAACCCGGGUAGUCC
Molecule: ribosomal RNA, 451 nt
Filed under: uncultured bacterium
Lineage: Bacteria
Description: partial 16S ribosomal RNA
Rfam family: Bacterial small subunit ribosomal RNA
Source: RNAcentral